UACGGGAGGCAGCAGUGGGGAAUAUUGCACAAUGGGCGCAAGCCUGAUGCAGCCAUGCCGCGUGUAUGAAGAAGGCCUUCGGGUUGUAAAGUACUUUCAGUCGUGAGGAAGGUGUUAAGGUUAAUAACCUUAGCAAUUGACGUUAGCGACAGAAGAAGCACCGGCUAACUCCGUGCCAGCAGCCGCGGUAAUACGGAGGGUGCGAGCGUUAAUCGGAAUUACUGGGCGUAAAGGGCACGCAGGCGGUUAAUUAAGUUGGAUGUGAAAUCCCCGGGCUUAACCUGGGAAUGGCAUUCAAGACUGGUUAGCUAGAGUCUUGUAGAGGGGGUAGAAUUCCAUGUGUAGCGGUGAAAUGCGUAGAGAUGUGGAGGAAUACCGGGUGGCGAAGGCGGCCCCUGGGACAAAGGACUGACGCUCAUGUGCGAAAGCGUGGGGAGCGAAACAGGGAUUAGAUACC
Molecule: ribosomal RNA, 457 nt
Filed under: uncultured bacterium
Lineage: Bacteria
Description: bacterial SSU rRNA
Rfam family: Bacterial small subunit ribosomal RNA
Source: RNAcentral